This 1541-nucleotide ribosomal RNA is filed under the name Escherichia coli. RNAcentral describes it as "bacterial SSU rRNA". It matches the Rfam family "Bacterial small subunit ribosomal RNA". Lineage: Bacteria; Pseudomonadati; Pseudomonadota; Gammaproteobacteria; Enterobacterales; Enterobacteriaceae. The record is from RNAcentral.
AAAUUGAAGAGUUUGAUCAUGGCUCAGAUUGAACGCUGGCGGCAGGCCUAACACAUGCAAGUCGAACGGUAACAGGAAGCAGCUUGCUGCUUCGCUGACGAGUGGCGGACGGGUGAGUAAUGUCUGGGAAACUGCCUGAUGGAGGGGGAUAACUACUGGAAACGGUAGCUAAUACCGCAUAACGUCGCAAGACCAAAGAGGGGGACCCUCGGGCCUCUUGCCAUCGGAUGUGCCCAGAUGGGAUUAGCUUGUUGGUGGGGUAACGGCUCACCAAGGCGACGAUCCCUAGCUGGUCUGAGAGGAUGACCAGCCACACUGGAACUGAGACACGGUCCAGACUCCUACGGGAGGCAGCAGUGGGGAAUAUUGCACAAUGGGCGCAAGCCUGAUGCAGCCAUGCCGCGUGUAUGAAGAAGGCCUUCGGGUUGUAAAGUACUUUCAGCGGGGAGGAAGGGAGUAAAGUUAAUACCUUUGCUCAUUGACGUUACCCGCAGAAGAAGCACCGGCUAACUCCGUGCCAGCAGCCGCGGUAAUACGGAGGGUGCAAGCGUUAAUCGGAAUUACUGGGCGUAAAGCGCACGCAGGCGGUUUGUUAAGUCAGAUGUGAAAUCCCCGGGCUCAACCUGGGAACUGCAUCUGAUACUGGCAAGCUUGAGUCUCGUAGAGGGGGGUAGAAUUCCAGGUGUAGCGGUGAAAUGCGUAGAGAUCUGGAGGAAUACCGGUGGCGAAGGCGGCCCCCUGGACGAAGACUGACGCUCAGGUGCGAAAGCGUGGGGAGCAAACAGGAUUAGAUACCCUGGUAGUCCACGCCGUAAACGAUGUCGACUUGGAGGUUGUGCCCUUGAGGCGUGGCUUCCGGAGCUAACGCGUUAAGUCGACCGCCUGGGGAGUACGGCCGCAAGGUUAAAACUCAAAUGAAUUGACGGGGGCCCGCACAAGCGGUGGAGCAUGUGGUUUAAUUCGAUGCAACGCGAAGAACCUUACCUGGUCUUGACAUCCACGGAAGUUUUCAGAGAUGAGAAUGUGCCUUCGGGAACCGUGAGACAGGUGCUGCAUGGCUGUCGUCAGCUCGUGUUGUGAAAUGUUGGGUUAAGUCCGCAACUAGCGCUACCUUAUCCUUUGUUGCCAGCGGUUCGGCCGGGAACUCAAAGGAGACUGCCAGUGAUAAACUGGAGGAAGGUGGGGAUGACGUCAAGUCAUCAUGGCCCUUACGACCAGGGCUACACACGUGCUACAAUGGCGCAUACAAAGAGAAGCGACCUCGCGAGAGCAAGCGGACCUCAUAAAGUGCGUCGUAGUCCGGAUUGGAGUCUGCAACUCGACUCCAUGAAGUCGGAAUCGCUAGUAAUCGUGGAUCAGAAUGCCACGGUGAAUACGUUCCCGGGCCUUGUACACACCGCCCGUCACACCAUGGGAGUGGGUUGCAAAAAGAAGUAGGUAGCUUAACCUUCGGGAGGGCGCUUACCACUUUGUGAUUCAUGACUGGGGUGAAGUCGUAACAAGGUAACCGUAGGGGAACCUGCGGUUGGAUCACCUCCUUA